RNAcentral lists this ribosomal RNA (265 nucleotides) under uncultured bacterium. Its description in RNAcentral is "partial 16S ribosomal RNA". It matches the Rfam family "Bacterial small subunit ribosomal RNA", at positions 1237 to 1500 of the family's 1533-position model. The record is from RNAcentral.
CGAACAAAGGGAAGCGAGACUGCAAAGUGGAGCGAAACCCAGAAAAGUACUCUCAGUUCAGAUUGUGGGCUGCAACCCGCCCACAUGAAGUUGGAGUUGCUAGUAAUCGCGGAUCAGCAUGCCGCGGUGAAUACGUUCCCGGGCCUUGUACACACCGCCCGUCACACCAUGGGAGUUGGGAGCGCCCGAAGCCGGUGAGGUAACCGAGAGGAGCCAGCCGUCGAAGGUGAGACCAAUGACUGGGGUGAAGUCGUAACAAGGUACC